UACGAGGGGGGCAAAUGUUGUUCGGAAUCACUGGGCGUAAAGGGCGCGUAGGCGGUGUGUCAAGUCAGGCGUGAAAGCCCCGGGCUCAACCUGGGAACCGCGCUUGAUACUGGACGGCUCGAGUUCGGGAGAGGGAAGUGGAAUUCCAGGUGUAGCGGUGAAAUGCGUAGAUAUCUGGAGGAACACCGGUGGCGAAGGCGGCUUCCUGGGCCGACACUGACGCUGAGGCGCGAAAGCCAGGGGAGCAAACGGG
This 253-nucleotide ribosomal RNA is filed under the name uncultured bacterium. Its description in RNAcentral is "partial 16S ribosomal RNA". It matches the Rfam family "Bacterial small subunit ribosomal RNA", at positions 524 to 776 of the family's 1533-position model. The record is from RNAcentral.